Molecule: small nucleolar RNA, 135 nt
Organism: Pseudoliparis swirei
Lineage: Eukaryota; Metazoa; Chordata; Actinopteri; Perciformes; Liparidae
Product: small nucleolar RNA SNORA5
Exons: 1
Source: RefSeq, a predicted model, not a curated record
UGCAUCCGUGUCAAAUUCAGCUGGUUCUGUCCAGUGGACCUCACUGGCCAACAUGGCUGCCACAGUGACUGUAGUCCAUGGGCCCCGCCGCUUUGCAUUGUGGGCAGUGGGGAUAAAUAUGUACUACGGACAAAU